This 97-nucleotide small nuclear RNA is filed under the name Dasypus novemcinctus (nine-banded armadillo). Lineage: Eukaryota; Metazoa; Chordata; Mammalia; Cingulata; Dasypodidae. The record is from RNAcentral.
GUGCUCACUUUGGUAGCACAUGUACUAAAAUUGGAACAAAUCAGAGAAGAUUGGCAUGGCCCCUGUGCAAGGAUGACACACAGAUUUAACAAUUUAG